GACGAACGCUGGCGGCGUGCUUUACACAUGCAAGUCGAACGGUGAAGGUGGAGCUUGCUCCGCCGGAUCAGUGGCGAACGGGUGAGUAACACGUGGGCAACCUGCCCCUAACUUUGGGAUAACUACUCGAAAGAGUAGCUAAUACAGGAUACGAAGUCUGUAGGCAUCUACGGAUUUGGAAAGUUUUUCGGUGAGGGAUGGGGCCGCGGCCUAUCAGCUUGUUGGUGGGGUAGUGGCUAACCAAGGCGACGACGGGUAGCCGGCCGGAGAGGGCGACCGGCCACACUGGGACUGAGACACGGCCCAGACUCCUACGGGAGGCAGCAGUGGGGAAUAUUGCGCAAUGGGCGAAAGCCUGACGCAGCAACGCCGCGUGCGGGAUGAAGGCCUUCGGGUUGUAAACCGCUUUCAGCAGGGAAGAAGCGAAAGUGACGGUACCUGCAGAAGAAGCACCGGCUAACUACGUGCCAGCAGCCGCAGUAA
This 483-nucleotide ribosomal RNA is filed under the name uncultured bacterium. RNAcentral's name for it is "partial 16S ribosomal RNA". It matches the Rfam family "Bacterial small subunit ribosomal RNA", at positions 28 to 523 of the family's 1533-position model. The record is from RNAcentral.